Molecule: ribosomal RNA, 468 nt
Filed under: uncultured bacterium
Lineage: Bacteria
Description: partial 16S ribosomal RNA
Rfam family: Bacterial small subunit ribosomal RNA
Source: RNAcentral
GAUGAACGCUGGCGGCGUGCUUAACACAUGCAAGUCGAACGGAAAGGCCCAAGCUUGCUUGGGUACUCGAGUGGCGAACGGGUGAGUAACACGUGGGUGAUCUGCCCUGCACUUCGGGAUAAGCCUGGGAAACUGGGUCUAAUACCGGAUAGGACGAUGGUUUGGAUGCCAUUGUGGAAAGUUUUUUCGGUGUGGGAUGAGCUCGCGGCCUAUCAGCUUGUUGGUGGGGUAAUGGCCUACCAAGGCGUCGACGGGUAGCCGGCCUGAGAGGGUGUACGGCCACAUUGGGACUGAGAUACGGGCCAGACUCCUACGGGAGGCAGCAGUGGGGAAUAUUGCACAAUGGGCGCAAGCCUGAUGCAGCGACGCCGCGUGGGGGAUGACGGCCUUCGGGUUGUAAACUCCUUUCGCUAGGGACGAAGCGUUUUUGUGACGGUACCUGGAGAAGAAGCACCGGCUAACUACGUG